CCUACGGGUGGCAGCAGUGGGGAAUAUUGCACAAUGGGGGAAACUCUGAUGCAGCGACGCCGCGUGAGUGAAGAAGUAUCUCGGUACGUAAAGCUCUAUCAGCAGGGAAGAAAAUGACGGUACCUGACUAAGAAGCCCCGGCUAACUACGUUCCAGCAGCCGCGGUAAUACGUAGGGGGCAAGCGUUAUCCGGAUUUACUGGGUGUAAAGGGAGCGUAGAGGGCAGCACAAGUCUGUAGUGAAAUCCCGGGGCUUAACCCCGGAACUGCAUUGGAAACUGGGCGGCUGGAGUGCAGGAGGGGUGAGCGGAAUUCGUAGUGUAGCGGUGAAAUGCUUAGAUAUUAGGAGGAACACCGGUGGCGAAGGCGGCUUACUGGACUGUAACUGACAUUGAGGCUCGAAAGCGUGGGGAGCAAACAGGAUUAGAUACCCGGGUAGUC
RNAcentral lists this ribosomal RNA (440 nucleotides) under uncultured bacterium. RNAcentral describes it as "partial 16S ribosomal RNA". It matches the Rfam family "Bacterial small subunit ribosomal RNA", at positions 338 to 795 of the family's 1533-position model. The record is from RNAcentral.